Polypterus senegalus (gray bichir) is the source of this 1051-nucleotide long non-coding RNA. RefSeq lists it as uncharacterized. Lineage: Eukaryota; Metazoa; Chordata; Cladistia; Polypteriformes; Polypteridae. The record is from RefSeq and is a predicted model, not a curated record. The transcript is spliced from 3 exons.
UGCAGUCAUCUUUAAUAAACACAGCAUUUGUCCUAAGUAGAAUCUCCAGCAGAGUUCCUUAUGGUAAUCCAUAGGUGAAGAGCCGUUCUUUUUUAUCAGGCUUUGUUUAUACUCCUCUGCGGCCACAUAACCAGAAAGAGAAGUCCACUCAACCCCACCUGCUUCGUGCUGUGUUGGGCCAAUACUGUGGCUCUUUUUGUGAAAUCGCAAGAGAAAUGUCCAGGGGAUGCACAUUCAUGUUCAUCCUAUAAAGAGAGCAAAACAGACUUUGAAGCCUACUAAUUCUUAAAUCAUCCCUUGUGAUCCCAUCACUUUUUGCGCUCAAAUGCUUUGCACUACAAUCAUACAGCAGACAGGCAUUGCUGGACAUUGCUAACUCACACAGUCCCCUGGAAUUUGCCGGUUUUAUACCAUCUGAGGUACAGUUCACUGUUCGCUCCCGCAGCCAACACCACAACCACACCCAGGAAGACCCCGUAGCACCGAGCUCAAGUGACCAAGCUGACCCCAGGAGACUGCUCAGGAGACGGUGAUGCAAUCGAGGCAAGAGGGGAGGGCUCCACUAUAGGCUGAAAGCCCGUGCUAGCCGACCACCGCUACCCAGCCUCUUGCUAGCCAUGAUCUCCGUCGCUGGAAAACAAUCUGGAUGAGCUAAAAGUCAGGAUUACAGCACAGUGGGAAAUAAGAGAAUGCUGCGCUCUAAUUUUCACUGAGACCUGGCUUUCGGACAAAGUCCCAGAAUGCGCCAUUCAGCUACAGACUCACUCCAUGCACCGAGGAGAUCGCACUGCAGCCUCCGAUGACUGAAACAUCAUGACACAGUGAUCACGAGACGUAAGAAUGUAAGAAGACAGGAACAAUUUGAAAGCAACAGAAGAAGUCAUUUAGCCACACAUAUCUUAUCAAUUCCUACUCACUUGACUUCUGUUACAUAUCAUCAAGUCAAGGUUUCAAGGUCAAAAAGUAACACAGCUUACUACUUGAUUGUUGUUCUUCAUGUAUCUGUAGUACUCACAUUUCCUAAUGGUUGUGCAAUAAUAUUAAACUUCUA